UGCUCUGACAACCAGUGGCCCAAUGUGCAGAAGGGCCAGCGCAUCCCCAAAACCCUUGACUUCUUGUUCUAUCACAAGCCCCUUGACACAGCGUUGGCUGUCUGCACAGCCCUGCUCUUUCUCCUUGCCCUGGCCAUCUUAGGCAUCUUCGUCUGACACCACCACACUCCCAUCAUCCAAGCCAACAACUGCCAGCUCAGCUAUCUCCUGCUGUCCUCCUUGGCCCUCAGCUUCCUCUGCCCCUUCAUGUUCAUUGGCCACCCAGACCCCAUCACUUGUGCUGUGCACCAGGCAGAUUUUGGGGUCACCUUCAUGGUCUGCACAUCCACUGUGCUGGCCAAGACCAUCGUGGUGGUGGCAGCCUUCCAUGCCACCCAGGCAGACACCCAGCUUAGGGGGUGGGCAGGGACAGUCCUCCUCAGCACCAUCCUCACUGUUCCCUGACCCAGGCAGCCUUGUGUGCACUCUGGGUGACCAGAUGGCCCCCUCAGCCUGUGAAACUCUACAGAACCCUGGCCCACAGUGACUGUAAAGUGUGAUAAAGGCUCCUUGGAACUUCUCUUGGAACUGGGCUACCUGAGUUUGCUAGAUCUGGUCAGCUUGCUGGUGACCUUCCCCACCUGCCGGCUGCCUGACACCUUCAAUGAAGCAAAGCAUAUCACUCUCAGCAUGUUGUCUGCUCCUGUGUCUGGGUGUCCUUCAUACCUGCCCACAUGCAUGCCCACAGCAAAGACACCAUGGCCAUGGAGGUCUUUGUCAUCUUGGCAUCAGCAGGAGGCCUCAUGUCCUCCCCCUCUUCUUUUCCAAAUGCUACAUCAUCCUUCUCCAUCCUGAAAAGAACACAAAAGACCAAAUGUUUGGCCGGCAUCUUCGCAAGUGGGAAAAACUGAAGUGAACCAUGGGGAGUGUGGCUUUCUCAGGGAUGCCUUCCUGAACUCCCCACCAGGAGGACGAG
Molecule: small RNA, 955 nt
Filed under: Pan troglodytes (chimpanzee)
Lineage: Eukaryota; Metazoa; Chordata; Mammalia; Primates; Hominidae
Description: unitary pseudogene
Source: RNAcentral